This 179-nucleotide ribosomal RNA is filed under the name Amanita spreta. Its description in RNAcentral is "partial 28S ribosomal RNA". It matches the Rfam family "Eukaryotic large subunit ribosomal RNA", at positions 1 to 176 of the family's 3401-position model. Lineage: Eukaryota; Fungi; Basidiomycota; Agaricomycetes; Agaricales; Amanitaceae. The record is from RNAcentral.
UUGACCUCAAAUCAGGUAGGACUACCCGCUGAACUUAAGCAUAUCAAUAAGCGGAGGAAAAGAAACUAACAAGGAUUCCCCUAGUAACUGCGAGUGAAGCGGGAAAAGCUCAAAUUUAAAAUCUGGCAGUCUUUGGCUGUCCGAGUUGUAAUCUAGAGAAGUGUUGCCCACGCUGGACC